This 60-nucleotide transfer RNA is filed under the name Ornithodoros asperus. Its description in RNAcentral is "tRNA-Ser". Lineage: Eukaryota; Metazoa; Arthropoda; Arachnida; Ixodida; Argasidae. The record is from RNAcentral.
GGCAUUUUAACUAUAUAAGUAUAUACUUUGAAAGUAUAAAAAAGGAUAACCUAUUUGCCU